GAUUGUUAGUCACAUGAUCGGUUCAGCCAUUUUCCUGGAAACAAGCUAGAGAACAGCAUGCUUCGAGUCCUCACUUCAUCUUGCUCCAUCUGCCUGUUUUAACCUUGGGAAAGCUUUGUUUUUUUACACUUCAACAACUUGAUCACAUUGAGUGCCGUGUCUUCAAUAAACGGACGUACAAGUGCACGUUGACAACCAA
Micropterus dolomieu (smallmouth bass) is the source of this 199-nucleotide long non-coding RNA. RefSeq lists it as uncharacterized. The record is from RefSeq and is a predicted model, not a curated record. Lineage: Eukaryota; Metazoa; Chordata; Actinopteri; Centrarchiformes; Centrarchidae. The transcript has 2 exons.